GGAGGAUGAAGGUCCACAUAUAUAGGAAUUGUCCUAACAGCGAGUGGUAACGCUGUUCCUUUACCCUUCUCGGUCAUAGCAAUGUAGUGGGAGCUGCAAGAUUCACGUGUUUUAACUUUGUCAGAGCACUUUGAAAAAGUGGUAUGUGGUAUCUGGAAAGCUGAUGUUGCAUGUGAAGAUUGCAGACAAGCUUUAUCCAAGGAAAUCUAGCUCUCGAAGUUUGGAGAGCGGUGCCUCUUCGGUUUUUGAACAAGCAAUCCUGUCGGGGAUCUGGCUCU
RNAcentral lists this long non-coding RNA (278 nucleotides) under Malus domestica (apple). RNAcentral's name for it is "long non-coding RNA (MDOM_LNC010360)". Lineage: Eukaryota; Viridiplantae; Streptophyta; Magnoliopsida; Rosales; Rosaceae. The record is from RNAcentral.